Molecule: ribosomal RNA, 573 nt
Filed under: Trichoderma sp. AH-Group-5
Lineage: Eukaryota; Fungi; Ascomycota; Sordariomycetes; Hypocreales; Hypocreaceae
Description: eukaryotic LSU rRNA
Rfam family: 5.8S ribosomal RNA (bases 196-349)
Source: RNAcentral
UUCACUACGAACCCAAUGUGAACGUUACCAAACUGUUGCCUCGGCGGGAUCUUCUGCCCCGGGUGCGUCGCAGCCCCGGACCAAGGCGCCCGCCGGAGGAAUCAACCAAAACUCUUAUUGUAUACCCCCUCGCGGGUUUUUUUUAUAAUCUGAGCCUUCUCGGCGCCUCUCGUAGGCGUUUCGAAAAUGAAUCAAAACUUUCAACAACGGAUCUCUUGGUUCUGGCAUCGAUGAAGAACGCAGCGAAAUGCGAUAAGUAAUGUGAAUUGCAGAAUUCAGUGAAUCAUCGAAUCUUUGAACGCACAUUGCGCCCGCCAGUAUUCUGGCGGGCAUGCCUGUCCGAGCGUCAUUUCAACCCUCGAACCCCUCCGGGGGGUCGGCGUUGGGGAUCGGCCUUCCUUCACGGGGGCCGUCUCCGAAAUACAGUGGCGGUCUCGCCGCAGCCUCUCCUGCGCAGUAGUUUGCACACUCGCAUCGGGAGCGCGGCGCGUCCACAGCCGUUAAACACCCAACUUUCUGAAAUGUUGACCUCGGAUCAGGUAGGAAUACCCGCUGAACUUAAGCAUAUCAAUA